GAUGAACGCUGGCGGCGUGCCUAAUACAUGCAAGUCGAGCGAAUGGAUUAAGAGCUUGCUCUUAUGAAGUUAGCGGCGGACGGGUGAGUAACACGUGGGUAACCUGCCCAUAAGACUGGGAUAACUCCGGGAAACCGGUGCUAAUACCGGAUAACAUUUUGAACCGCAUGGUUCGAAAUCGAAAGGCGGCUUCGGCUGUCACUUAUGGACGGACCCGCGUCGCAUUAGCGAGUGGGUGAGGGAACGGCUAACCAAGGCAACGAUGCGUAGCCGACCUGAGAGGGUGAUCGGCCACACUGGGACUGAGACACGGCCCAGACUCCUACGGGAGGCAGCAGUAGGGAAUCUUCCGCAAUGGACGAAAGUCUGACGGAGCAACGCCGCGUGAGUGAUGAAGGCUUUCGGGUCGUAAAACUCUGUUGUUAGGGGAGAACAAGUGCUAGUUGAAUAAGCUGGCACCUUGACGGUACCUAACCAGAAAGCCACGGCUAACUACGUGCCAGCCGCCGCAGUAA
RNAcentral lists this ribosomal RNA (515 nucleotides) under uncultured bacterium. Its description in RNAcentral is "partial 16S ribosomal RNA". It matches the Rfam family "Bacterial small subunit ribosomal RNA", at positions 28 to 523 of the family's 1533-position model. The record is from RNAcentral.